GGGGGGGGGGGGGGGGGGGGCGGGUGGAGGGGGGGCGAGGGAGCAGAGGAGGAGCUUGCUCCUCUGACGUUAGCGGCGGACGGGUGAGUGACACGUGGAUAACCUACCUAUAAGACUGGGAUAACUUCGGGAAACCGGAGCUAAUACCGGAUAAUAUAUUGAACCGCAUGGUUCAGUAGUGAAAGACGGUUUUGCUGUCAAUUAUAGAUGGAUCCGCGCCGCAUUAGCUAGUUGGUAAGGUAACGGCUUACCAAGGCAACGAUGCGUAGCCGACCGGAGAGGGUGAUCGGCCACACUGGAACUGAGACACGGUCCAGACUCCUACGGGAGGCAGCAGUAGGGAAUCUUCCGCAAUGGGCGAAAGCCUGACGGAGCAACGCCGCGUGAGUGAUGAAGGUCUUCGGAUCGUAAAACUCUGUUAUUAGGGAAGAACAAAUGUGUAAGUAACUAUGCACGUCUUGACGGUACCUAAUCAGAAAGCCACGGCUAACUACGUG
This 497-nucleotide ribosomal RNA is filed under the name uncultured bacterium. Its description in RNAcentral is "partial 16S ribosomal RNA". It matches the Rfam family "Bacterial small subunit ribosomal RNA", at positions 38 to 507 of the family's 1533-position model. The record is from RNAcentral.